This 253-nucleotide ribosomal RNA is filed under the name uncultured bacterium. Its description in RNAcentral is "partial 16S ribosomal RNA". It matches the Rfam family "Bacterial small subunit ribosomal RNA", at positions 524 to 776 of the family's 1533-position model. The record is from RNAcentral.
UACGUAGGGUGCAGGCGUUAAUCGGAAUUACUGGGCGUAAAGCGUGCGCAGGCGGUUUGCUAAGACAGGUGUGAAAUCCCCGGGCUUAACCUGGGAACUGCGCUUGUUACUGGCAGGCUUGAGUGUGGCAGAGGGGGGUGGAAUUCCACGUGUAGCAGUGAAAUGCGUAGAGAUGCGGAGGAACACCGAUGGCGAAGGCAGCCCCCUGGGCUGACACUGACGCUCAGGCACGAAAGCGUGGGGAGCAAACAGG